AUGAACGCUGGCGGCGUGGAUAAGGCAUGCAAGUCAAGGGGGCCCGCAAGGGCCACCGGCAAACGAGUUAGUAACACGUAGGUACGACCCCAGAAGUCAGGAAUAGUCCGUCGAAAGACGGGGUAAUACCUGAUGGUCUCUUAGGAGUAAAGAUUUAUCGCUUCUGGAUCGGCCUGCGGAGUAUCAGCUAGUUGGUAGGGUAAUGGCCUACCAAGGCGAUGACGCUUAGGGGAGCUGAGAGGCUGACCCCCAACGAUGGUACUGAGCCACGGACCAUACACCUACGGGUGGCUGCAGUCGAGAAACUUCCGCAAUGGGCGAAAGCCUGACGGAGCGACGCCGCGUGACUGAUGAAGUCCUUAGGGACGUAAAGGUCUUUUAUAGGGGAGAAAAUCCGGGCUUGCUCGGAUGUGAUAGUACCCUAGGAAUAAGAGGUUGCCAACCUCGU
RNAcentral lists this ribosomal RNA (448 nucleotides) under uncultured bacterium. RNAcentral's name for it is "bacterial SSU rRNA". It matches the Rfam family "Bacterial small subunit ribosomal RNA", at positions 29 to 506 of the family's 1533-position model. The record is from RNAcentral.